This 341-nucleotide ribosomal RNA is filed under the name Dolichopus griseipennis. RNAcentral describes it as "partial 12S ribosomal RNA". Lineage: Eukaryota; Metazoa; Arthropoda; Insecta; Diptera; Dolichopodidae. The record is from RNAcentral.
AAAAAUUGUAUCAUAAAUAAUCCAGAGUAGUAUUAGUUAAGGUCUUGAAACUCAAAAAAUUUGGCGGUAUUUUAGUCUAUUUAGAGGAACCUGUAGUAUAAUCGAUAAUCCACGAUGGACCUCACUUAAUUUUGUUUUUCAGUUUGUAUAUCGCUGUUAUUUGAAGAUUUUAUAAGAAUAUUAAUUUUCAUGAUUUUUAAUUAAAAAAUAUAUCAGGUCAAGGUGCAGCUUAUGAUUAAGAAUUUAUGGGUUACAAUAAAAUUAUUUAUACGGAUAAAAAUAUGAAAUUAUUUUUUGAAGGUGGAUUUAAUAGUAAAUUUUUAAAGAUAAAAGAAUUGAUU